UAAUUUUUGUUUUAGUUUUUUCCCUUGAGUUUGGCGGGUUUGUGUAUUUUCAGAUUCAGCUGUUUGAUGAUAUGCUAUAGCAGACGAAAAUUGAAUGUCGGAUUCUGAUUGGUUGGUUGACGCUACGGGCUGAACUCUCAUUGGUUGAAAGAAACCGGGUCGUCUGCUAAAACCAUCUUCCGUGAAGAAAUCAGGGAAAUUUUAGCAAAUGAUAAUAAACAACGUAAAUAUUAAUGGAGUUUUUAAACGUGUGAAGCUUAGAUUUAUGUCAAAGGUUACUGUGUUCAUCAACCAUAGCAUGAUAGCAGUUCAAACAAAUCCACCAGACUGUGUACACGGUAACGGUACAUGCUGAGAACUAUCUGUGCAGUACUGCAGCGGCUGUAAAGUUACAGAUAUUAGGAAAAUUAUAGCCGAUUUAAAACGUCAGGUAUGCAUGUGGUGGGGUUGAUCUUCUUCUGCUUGAGCUUAUGGGAGAAUGUCUGGGCGGGAGAAGAUGAAGGACCAGGAAAUCCU
Molecule: long non-coding RNA, 516 nt
Organism: Eurytemora carolleeae
Lineage: Eukaryota; Metazoa; Arthropoda; Copepoda; Calanoida; Temoridae
Exons: 4
Source: RefSeq, a predicted model, not a curated record